UACGUAGGGUGCGAGCGUUAUUCGGAAUUACUGGGCGUAAAGCGUGCGCAGGCGGUUCGCCAAGUCAGGUGUGAAAUCCCCGGGCUUAACCUGGGAAUUGCGCUUGAAACUAGCGGGCUUGAGUGUGGCAGAGGGGGGUGGAAUUCCACGUGUAGCAGUGAAAUGCGUAGAGAUGUGGAGGAACACCGAUGGCGAAGGCAGCCCCCUGGGUCAAAACUGACGCUCAUGCACGAAAGCGUGGGGAGCAAACAGG
RNAcentral lists this ribosomal RNA (253 nucleotides) under uncultured bacterium. Its description in RNAcentral is "partial 16S ribosomal RNA". It matches the Rfam family "Bacterial small subunit ribosomal RNA", at positions 524 to 776 of the family's 1533-position model. The record is from RNAcentral.